Molecule: non-coding RNA, 31 nt
Filed under: Mus musculus (house mouse)
Lineage: Eukaryota; Metazoa; Chordata; Mammalia; Rodentia; Muridae
Source: RNAcentral
UGCUUUCUUAAGUAUCUCAGGACCAUCUGCC